ACAAGCGUAAAGUGUAAAAUGAAUGUUGUUAAUACAUUUUGGAUUUUUCAUUUGCUGACUAACAUCGAAGGCUUAGUAGUUCAAACUUUUGUUUAUAGCAGCCGGAAUACACAUGAAUAACCAAUUUCCACAUUUGUUGUCUAUUAUCAAUUUUAAUGACUUGUUAUAGAUUAUUGCAUAUUAAAUUCUAUAAAUUAAAAUAAUACUUAUGAAUUAUUAUUGUCAAAUUAGAAAUCAUAAUCCAUUUAAUUAUUUCACUGUUAUCAUUUUUAGUAUUUCCUUCCAAUAGUUAAUUUUUUCUAUCUUACGCUGCUAUUUUUUCCAAAAAUGUGAUCAUCCAAAUUUUUUAUGUGUGUAUAUUUUUUAACUUGAAAUUUAACCAAAUGCCACCAACAAGAAGGAGAAGUAGUCGUACUUCAGUUCGUAGAGUGUCUGCUCGUCAAGGAGUUCCUAAAGAUGUAUUAAUAGAAUUAAGUCCUAGACAUGAUAAAGCCUGUAUGUUUUGUGGGAGAAAAGAAAUUAGUGAAAAAUUAUAUGGUCAAUUAUAUCAAUUAAAUGAUGUCAUAGUUCAUUAUUUUUGUAUAUUGCUUUCUUCUCAAGCUAUUCAAAGAGGUCAAGACAAUGAAGGAAUAUGGGGUUUUUUAUUAAAUGAUAUUAAAUCUGAAAUUGAAAGAGGAUCUAAAGCAGUAUGUAUUUAUUGUAAAAAAGUUGGAGCUACUAUAUCUUGCUGUUCUUCUAAAUGUCGAAAAAUCUUCCAUCUUCCAUGUGGGAUGGAGCACGGAUCUAUGCAUCAAUUUUAUCAGACUUUUAAAUCAUUUUGUCAGCAACAUAGAAUAACUCAAACAGUAGAUUUACAAGAAUUACAAAAGUCAGCUUGUGUACAGUGUGCUAUUUGUAAAGAAGAUGUAAAACCAACUCCUUUACCAUCAUCUUUGUGGGCUCCAUGUUGUAAACGUAAUGCAUGGUUUCAUCGUAGAUGUAUUCAAGAGUUAGCUUUAAGUGCAGGUUACUUUUUCAAAUGUCCAUUAUGUAACAAUGUUGACAUAUUUAAAGCUAGAAUGUUAACUCUGGGCAUAUACAUUCCUUCUAGAAACCGUUACCUGAAAAAAUUAAAUCACAGGGACGCUUCAUGGGAAACUGUGCCAAAUGCUUAUGCUGAAUUGUUAGAAAGACAUAGUACAUGUAAUGCUGAUACUUGUUUGUGCCCACACCCACAAAAAAGAAACUAUCAACAAGAAACUGGUUCAUGGGAAAUUAUCCUUUGUUAUACUUGUGGUUCAAGUGGGACUCACACUCUCUGUAGUUCAAUUAAAUGUGAUCAACCUUGGUAUUGUAGUUCUUGUCAAUCCAUUACAGAAGGACCUAGAGAAGCUAAACGAAGACGUUUAGACGACAGUAUAGUUUUUAGUAAUGGCAUUUCUCAAAAUGAAGAAAAACAUUUAGGGGAAUCUAUAAGACUAAAUGCCAACACAGAUACUACUACACAUAAAGAAUCUGAAGAAAUUUUAACUACAUCACAACCUUUAGAUACUUCAAUAAUUGUAAUUGACAGCAGUGAUGAAGAUGAUGAUGUACAGCUGGUUGGAUAUGUGGACCCUCCAAAAAUGGUUAGUCGCCUUCCUUCUAGUCAAUUACCAGUUAUAUCAAGUUAUAUAUCAAUGAGCAAUAAUUUACCAGUUGCAAAUGGAUUUGAUCAUGAGUUUUCUUCUUUUCAUCAAACAAAAAAUGACAGCUAUGUUUUUUCUGAGAGAGUAUAUAAGUUCUGUGUGUAGACAUUUAUGAAAAGACUUGUAAAAUCUAAGUUAUCAACAAAUAUUAGUAUCUUUAUCUCAAACACUCAAUAUUGAAUAAGAACAUAAAAAGUAUUGAUUUAACUGUAGAUGAUGACGACUGAAUAACUUCAUUAUUAUAUGAAAUAAUCACUACACAAUUUUUAAAUGUACAAAAUUAUUAACUACAUAAAAUAAUUUUGUUACUAAGACUGAAUGUUUCCAACUACCAAGGAAAUUUAUUUUUUAAUUGUGCUAUUGAAUGUACAUGUUUUUAUAUAAAUAAAGAGCUCAAAUUAUAACAUCA
RNA transcript from Daktulosphaira vitifoliae (grape phylloxera), 2076 nucleotides. It is a transcript of the gene named PHD finger protein 7-like, with no coding region annotated. The transcript is spliced from 11 exons. The record is from RefSeq and is a predicted model, not a curated record. Lineage: Eukaryota; Metazoa; Arthropoda; Insecta; Hemiptera; Phylloxeridae.